GGUUAAGCGACUAAGCGUACACGGUGGAUGCCCUGGCAGUCAGAGGCGAUGAAGGACGUGCUAAUCUGCGAUAAGCGUCGGUAAGGUGAUAUGAACCGUUAUAACCGGCGAUUUCCGAAUGGGGAAACCCAGUGUGAUUCGUCACACUAUCAUUAACUGAAUCCAUAGGUUAAUGAGGCGAACCGGGGGAACUGAAACAUCUAAGUACCCCGAGGAAAAGAAAUCAACCGAGAUUCCCCCAGUAGCGGCGAGCGAACGGGGAGCAGCCCAGAGCCUGAAUCAGUGUGUGUGUUAGUGGAAGCGUCUGGAAAGGCGCGCGAUACAGGGUGACAGCCCCGUACACAAAAAUGCACAUGCUGUGAGCUCGAUGAGUAGGGCGGGACACGUGGUAUCCUGUCUGAAUAUGGGGGGACCAUCCUCCAAGGCUAAAUACUCCUGACUGACCGAUAGUGAACCAGUACCGUGAGGGAAAGGCGAAAAGAACCCCGGCGAGGGGAGUGAAAAAGAACCUGAAACCGUGUACGUACAAGCAGUGGGAGCACAGAGCAAUCUGUGUGACUGCGUACCUUUUGUAUAAUGGGUCAGCGACUUAUAUUCUGUAGCAAGGUUAACCGAAUAGGGGAGCCGAAGGGAAACCGAGUCUUAACUGGGCGUUAAGUUGCAGGGUAUAGACCCGAAACCCGGUGAUCUAGCCAUGGGCAGGUUGAAGGUUGGGUAACACUAACUGGAGGACCGAACCGACUAAUGUUGAAAAAUUAGCGGAUGACUUGUGGCUGGGGGUGAAAGGCCAAUCAAACCGGGAGAUAGCUGGUUCUCCCCGAAAGCUAUUUAGGUAGCGCCUCGUGAAUUCAUCUCCGGGGGUAGAGCACUGUUUCGGCAAGGGGGUCAUCCCGACUUACCAACCCGAUGCAAACUGCGAAUACCGGAGAAUGUUAUCACGGGAGACACACGGCGGGUGCUAACGUCCGUCGUGAAGAGGGAAACAACCCAGACCGCCAGCUAAGGUCCCAAAGUCAUGGUUAAGUGGGAAACGAUGUGGGAAGGCCCAGACAGCCAGGAUGUUGGCUUAGAAGCAGCCAUCAUUUAAAGAAAGCGUAAUAGCUCACUGGUCGAGUCGGCCUGCGCGGAAGAUGUAACGGGGCUAAACCAUGCACCGAAGCUGCGGCAGCGACGCUGAUGCGUUGUUGGGUAGGGGAGCGUUCUGUAAGCCUGCGAAGGUGUGCUGU
RNAcentral lists this ribosomal RNA (1226 nucleotides) under Escherichia coli. Its description in RNAcentral is "partial 23S ribosomal RNA". It matches the Rfam family "Bacterial large subunit ribosomal RNA", at positions 1 to 1264 of the family's 2925-position model. Lineage: Bacteria; Pseudomonadati; Pseudomonadota; Gammaproteobacteria; Enterobacterales; Enterobacteriaceae. The record is from RNAcentral.